GAUGAACGCUGGCGGCAGGCUUAAUACAUGCAAGUUGAACGGUAACAUGUUGUAGCAAUACGAUGAUGACGAGUGGCGCACGGGUGCGUAACACGUGUGUAACCUACCUUAUACAGGAACAUAACGUUGAGAAAUCGGCGCUAACAUUCCAUAAUAUUAUUUGUAGGCAUCUAUGAAUAAUUAAAACUCCGGUGGUAUAAGAUGGGCACGCGUUCCAUUAGCUAGUUGGUAAGGUAACGGCUUACCAAGGCAACGAUGGAUAGGGGUUCUGAGAGGAUAAUCCCCCACACUGGAACUGAGACACGGUCCAGACUCCUACGGGAGGCAGCAGUAAGGAAUAUUGGGCAAUGGAGGCAACUCUGACCCAGCCAUGCCGCGUGCAGGAAGACGGCCCUAUGGGUUGUAAAACUGCUUUUAAUAGGGAUUAAAGUCGACUACGUGUAGUUGUUUGCAAGUACCUAUAGAAUAAGCAUCGGCUAACUCCGUGCCAGCAGCCGCGGUAA
This 503-nucleotide ribosomal RNA is filed under the name uncultured bacterium. Its description in RNAcentral is "bacterial SSU rRNA". It matches the Rfam family "Bacterial small subunit ribosomal RNA", at positions 28 to 523 of the family's 1533-position model. The record is from RNAcentral.